CCAACUUUACGGAAGGGUAGUAUUUAUUAGAUAUUAAACCAAUCCUUCGGGUUGUGAUGAUUCAUAAUAACUGAUCGAAGCGAGGAUUUCCUUGCUAAAUCAUUCAAGUUUCUGCCCUAUCAGCUUUAGAUGGUAGUGUAUUGGACUACCAUGGCUAUCACGGGUAACGGAGAAUUAGGGUUCGAUUCCGGAGAGGGAGCCUGAGAAAUGGCUACCACAUCUAAGGAUGGCAGCAGGCGCGAAAAUUGCCCAAUCCCGAUUCGGGGAGGCAGUGACAAGAAAUAACAACCCAGGGGUUUCCCCAGGGAUUGUAAUGAGAAAAAUCUAAAAAACUUAUCGAGCAUCAACUGGAGGGCAAGCUAUGGUGCCAGCAGCCGCGGUAAUUCCAUCUCCAGUAGCGUAUAUUAAAGUUGCUGCAGUUAAAAAGCUCGUAGUUGAAAUUCUGUCCGGUUGAGCGAUUUCCAAAAGGUUUUCGCCUCACCGGGCAUCAGUCUGCAAUCAUUUUCACGACAUUCACUUGUCGGGAUUGGGAGCAGGCGUUUUACCUUGAGAAAAUUAGAGUGUUCCAGGCAGGCUUCAGCCCGAAUACAUUAGCAUGGAAUAAUAGAAUAGGACUAGAGACUAUUUAUUGGUUUAAGGCUUUAGUAAUGAUUAAUAGGAACAGUCGGGGGCAUUAGUACUUGACAGUCAGAGGUGA
This 697-nucleotide ribosomal RNA is filed under the name uncultured eukaryote. RNAcentral describes it as "bacterial SSU rRNA". It matches the Rfam family "Eukaryotic small subunit ribosomal RNA", at positions 183 to 914 of the family's 1831-position model. The record is from RNAcentral.